Podarcis muralis (Common wall lizard) is the source of this 66-nucleotide small nucleolar RNA. Its record names the gene SNORD82. It matches the Rfam family "Small nucleolar RNA SNORD82". From Rfam's summary of the family: snoRNA U82 or Z25 is found in both humans and mice. U82/Z25 is a member of the C/D class of snoRNA which contain C (UGAUGA) and D (CUGA) box motifs. The record is from Ensembl. NCBI's taxonomy places the organism in Eukaryota, Metazoa, Chordata, Lepidosauria, Squamata, Lacertidae.
AGCACAGAUGAUGAUUAUUGGGACUUAAUACUGAUCUUGUGAUGUCUCUACUAUGAGCUGAUGUGU